This 732-nucleotide ribosomal RNA is filed under the name uncultured Campylobacter sp. RNAcentral's name for it is "bacterial SSU rRNA". It matches the Rfam family "Bacterial small subunit ribosomal RNA", at positions 28 to 776 of the family's 1533-position model. The record is from RNAcentral. Lineage: Bacteria; Pseudomonadati; Campylobacterota; Epsilonproteobacteria; Campylobacterales; Campylobacteraceae.
AGUGAACGCUGGCGGCGUGCCUAAUACAUGCAAGUCGAACGAUGAAGUCCUAGCUUGCUAGGAUGGAUUAGUGGCGCACGGGUGAGUAAUAUAUAGUUAAUCUGCCCUACACAGAGGAACAACAGUUGGAAACGGCUGCUAAUACCUCAUACUCCUAUUUGACAUAAGUUAAAUAGGGAAAGUCUUUUCGGUGUAGGAUGAGACUAUAUCGUAUCAGCUAGUUGGUAAGGUAAUGGCUUACCAAGGCUAUGACGCGUAACUGGUCUGAGAGGAUGAUCAGUCACAUUGGAACUGAGACACGGUCCAAACUCCUACGGGAGGCAGCAGUAAGGAAUAUUGCGCAAUGGGGGAAACCCUGACGCAGCAACGCCGCGUGGAGGAUGACACUUUUCGGAGCGUAAACUCCUUUUAUCAGGAAAGAAUAAUGACGGUACCUGAUGAAUAAGCACCGGCUAACUCCGUGCCAGCAGCCGCGGUAAUACGGGGGGUGCAAGCGUUACUCGGAAUCACUGGGCGUAAAGGACGCGUAGGCGGAUUAUCAAGUCUUUUGUGGAAUCUAGUGGCUUAACCACUAAACUGCUUAGGAAACUGAUAGUCUAGAGUAGGGGAGAGGUAGAUGGAAUUCUUGGUGUAGGGGUAAAAUCCGUAGAGAUCAAGAAGAAUACCCAUUGCGAAAGCGAUCUGCUGGAACCUAACUGACGCUGAGGCGUGAAAGCGUGGGUAGCAAACAGG